UUUUUCCUGCAAAGCUAAUGCUCCUAAAUAUUAUCAGAUCAACCCUAAGGAAUCAAAAUGUUCCAGUCCAGUUAACAAGUUCAGUGGUACGAGUGUGCAAGGGUUCCCAGCCUGUCCAGUAGGCAGGCGUUCUCUCAGGAACAAUCCCUGCUUAGAUGAGUUCCUGGAUGCUUCCACCCAUAUGAGAGAGGAGAAAGCUACAGAUACCGUAUCAGGAUGGCCAAGCUUUCUUCAGCUAAGCAAAUUAAUCUGUAGAGAAACAAAGCAAAAUGCAAGUUAA
RNAcentral lists this long non-coding RNA (280 nucleotides) under Dromaius novaehollandiae (emu). RNAcentral's name for it is "lncRNA (ENSDNVG00000012930.1)". Lineage: Eukaryota; Metazoa; Chordata; Aves; Casuariiformes; Dromaiidae. The record is from RNAcentral.